Molecule: ribosomal RNA, 539 nt
Filed under: Salmoneus aduncus
Lineage: Eukaryota; Metazoa; Arthropoda; Malacostraca; Decapoda; Alpheidae
Description: partial 16S ribosomal RNA
Rfam family: Bacterial large subunit ribosomal RNA
Source: RNAcentral
GUCUGUAUGUAUUUAAAUAUAAAGUCUGGCCUGCCCACUGAUAUAGUUUUAAAGGGCCGCGGUAUCUUGACCGUGCAAAGGUAGCAUAAUCAAUAGUCUUUUAAUUGGAGGCUUGAAUGAACGGUUGGACAAAAGAAAAGCUGUUUCACUUGCAUAUUUCGAAUUUAAUUUUUAUGUGAAAAAGCAUGAAUGAGUUAGGGGGACGAUAAGACCCUAUAAAACUUUACAUAAGUUAAAUGCUUUCUUGAAUUUUGGUAAUAAGUAGGUAUUUAUAAGUGUUGGGUUGGGGCGACAAAGAUAUAAAUUUUAGUAACUGUUUAAAAGAUUAAAUAAUUAUGAUUAGAUAAUGAUCCUUUAAUAGAGAUUAAGAGAUAAAGUUACUUUAGGGAUAACAGCAUAAUUUUUUCUGAGAGUUCUUAUCGAUGAAAUUAGUUGUGACCUCGAUGUUGAAUUAAGAUUUCCUCUAGGAGUAGAAAUUUAGGGGGAAGGUCUGUUCGACCUUUACAUUCUUACAUGAUUUGAGUUCAAACCGGUGUGAG